RNAcentral lists this ribosomal RNA (871 nucleotides) under Arthrobotrys sp. YMF1.01888. RNAcentral's name for it is "eukaryotic LSU rRNA". It matches the Rfam family "Eukaryotic large subunit ribosomal RNA", at positions 60 to 948 of the family's 3401-position model. Lineage: Eukaryota; Fungi; Ascomycota; Orbiliomycetes; Orbiliales; Orbiliaceae. The record is from RNAcentral.
AGAGACCAACAGGGAUUGCCUCAGUAACGGCGAGUGAAGCGGCAACAGCUCAAAUUUGAAAUCUGGGGUCUUUCGGCCUCCGAGUUGUAAUUUGAAGAGGAUGUUUCGGUGCGACCUGGGCCUAAGUUCCUUGGAACAGGACGUCAUGGAGGGUGAGAAUCCCGUACAUGGCUGCAGGUUUGCUUCUAUGUGAAACUCCUUCGAAGAGUCGAGUUGUUUGGGAAUGCAGCUCAAAAUGGGUGGUAAAUUUCAUCUAAAGCUAAAUAUUGGCGGGAGACCGAUAGCGCACAAGUAGAGUGAUCGAAAGAUGAAAAGCACUUUGAAAAGAGAGUUAAACAGUACGUGAAAUUGUUGAAAGGGAAGCGCUUGCAAUCAGACUCGCCUUCAGUUGAUCAGCCUUCCUUCUGGUUGGUGCACUCUGCUGUUGGCGGGCCAGCAUCAGUUGGGACGGCGGGACAAAGGCUUCAGGAAUGUGGCUCACCUCGGUGAGUGUUAUAGCCUGUUGCGCCAUGCCGCCAGCCCCGACUGAGGUCCACGGUUCGCGCCUAGGAUGCUGGCUUAAUGGUUGUAAGCGACCCGUCUUGAAACACGGACCAAGGAGUCUAACAUCUAUGCGAGUCUUUGGGUGUAAAACCCAUGGGCGAAAUGAAAGUGAACGGAGGUGGGAGUCCUCGGAUGCACCAUCGACCGAUCCUGAUGUUCUCGGAUGGAUUUGAGUAGGAGCAUAGCUGUUGGGACCCGAAAGAUGGUGAACUAUGCCUGAAUAGGGUGAAGCCAGAGGAAACUCUGGUGGAGGCUCGCAGCGGUUCUGACGUGCAAAUCGAUCGUCAAAUUUGGGUAUAGGGGCGAAAGACUAAUCGAACCAUCCUGC